RNAcentral lists this ribosomal RNA (890 nucleotides) under Bacillus toyonensis. RNAcentral's name for it is "bacterial LSU rRNA". It matches the Rfam family "Bacterial large subunit ribosomal RNA", at positions 1 to 886 of the family's 2925-position model. The record is from RNAcentral. Lineage: Bacteria; Bacillati; Bacillota; Bacilli; Caryophanales; Bacillaceae.
UUUGGUUAAGUUAGAAAGGGCGCACGGUGGAUGCCUUGACACUAGGAGUCGAUGAAGGACGGGACUAACGCCGAUAUGCUUCGGGGAGCUGUAAGUAAGCUUUGAUCCGAAGAUUCCGAAUGGGGAAACCCACUAUACGUAAUGGUAUGGUAUCCUUACCUGAAUACAUAGGGUAUGGAAGACAGACCCAGGGAACUGAAACAUCUAAGUACCUGGAGGAAGAGAAAGCAAAUGCGAUUUUCCUGAGUAGCGGCGAGCGAAACGGAACAUAGCCCAAACCAAGAGGCUUGCCUCUUGGGGUUGUAGGACAUUCUAUACGGAGUUACAAAGGAACGAGGUAGACGAAGCGACCUGGAAAGGUCCGUCGUAGAGGGUAACAACCCCGUAGUCGAAACUUCGUUCUCUCUUGAAUGUAUCCUGAGUACGGCGGAACACGUGAAAUUCCGUCGGAAUCUGGGAGGACCAUCUCCCAAGGCUAAAUACUCCCUAGUGAUCGAUAGUGAACCAGUACCGUGAGGGAAAGGUGAAAAGCACCCCGGAAGGGGAGUGAAAGAGAUCCUGAAACCGUGUGCCUACAAAUAGUCAGAGCCCGUUAAUGGGUGAUGGCGUGCCUUUGUAGAAUGAACCGGCGAGUUACGAUCCCGUGCAAGUUAAGCUGAAGAGGCGGAGCCGCAGCGAAAGCGAGUCUGAAUAGGGCGUUUAGUACGUGGUCGUAGACCCGAAACCAGGUGAUCUACCCCAUGUCCAGGGUGAAGUCAGGUAACACUGAAUGGAGGCCCGAACCCACGCACGUUGAAAAGUGCGGGGAUGAGGUGUGGGUAGCGGAGAAAUUCCAAUCGAACCUGGAGAUAGCUGGUUCUCCCCGAAAUAGCUUUAGGGCUAGCCUUAAG